This 161-nucleotide non-coding RNA is filed under the name bovine gut metagenome. The record is from RNAcentral.
GUGGUUCCGAACACGUUCGGCCAAGAGGGAAUGCCGUGAAAUUCGGCAACAGUUCCCGCUGCUGUAAGUCCAUUUAUGCUUGCAAACAUCACCGCCACUGCGCUCCUGUUGCGUGGGAAGGCGUUUGUCAAGCGGACAAAGUCAGAAGACCUGCCACUUUU